GAAUCUGCUCUGACAACAAUUUAAUGAAACGUUAAAUUGCUGACCAAGUCCUAAAGGAUGUGUGUGGCAACGAUAAGUGACGGGGAUAAUGGACUUUCUGGCCCAACUUGGCAGUGGGAAGUCUCGCAGAGUUUCUCGAGCAACUCCGGACAACUACUUAAGCAACCCUGCCAACUGCAGACAAACACCAAAUGCAUAACAUUUUCCCCACAACAUAAUUAAUCCGCCCAUUUUUCGGUUUUCUUCCCCUUUUCCUUCUCCUGGGGAAAUGUCAAUAGCACAAAAAUCGCGAACCGCGACUUGCGACGAGGCAAAUGGCAGAAAAUAUGCGAAAAACUACGGAGAAAAACGCCAAGAAAAGUAAAGUUUUUCCCUGUCGUCGCGGAGGAUAUUACAAAAUCCAUUAAAAUUCUAUUUCCUGCCAUCAAACUGCCCAAAGUUAAAUAAAGCGCCGCUCGGCCACGGGUAAAACUAGGGAAAGAAAACGAAAUAAUAAUAAUAAACGACAAACAGCAAGCGGCGAGCAAACAAACAAGCGGCAAAAAGUUUUCCCUUUUUCCUUUUCGGUGCUUUGCCUGGUGAAAAGGGGUAGUGGUGGGAGGAGGUUCACUGUAGAGCGGUCCUUGAGCUGUUCUUGAGCCACUUGGCAAUGCAGUCGAACGAGCGCUGACUGCAUUUUAAAGCAGCAACUUCGGAGGCAAUACAGAGGACAAAACUAAUAAGCCCAUGGAGUGGUCUGUCCCCCCAUCCACCCUCCACCCUGACGCAUUAUAAAGGUAUAAAGCGCAGUUAAUAAAGUUGCAAGUGGUCGUCAUCGUCAACCUUAUCGUCUAGCUCUGGUUAUGGCUCUGGUCCUGGUUGUGGAGUCUGGAGUCUGGUGAUCCGGAUUCGGAUCGUUCUGGGGCUCGACUCUCGACUUGACUUUAUUCUCUGGAAAUGCUGCAUCGUCGCUUAUUAAUCCCGAGUGCAAAUCCCCCACCCCGCUUGGUCGGUUCCGACUGUAAUGCCAAGCCAAGCAUCAAUAAAUGUUGUACAACCUCGAACUGUGGAAUGAGGGGUGCAGGGGGAACCAGUACUAGGGACC
RNAcentral lists this long non-coding RNA (1084 nucleotides) under Drosophila guanche. The record is from RNAcentral. Lineage: Eukaryota; Metazoa; Arthropoda; Insecta; Diptera; Drosophilidae.